Molecule: RNA transcript, 4157 nt
Organism: Gadus chalcogrammus (walleye pollock)
Lineage: Eukaryota; Metazoa; Chordata; Actinopteri; Gadiformes; Gadidae
Gene: sv2
Gene name: synaptic vesicle glycoprotein 2
Exons: 15
Source: RefSeq, a predicted model, not a curated record
UCAUAAUUACAUAUUCAUAUCUUGCAUGCAAUUCAUACAAGAUAUGACCUAGUAACGCAAUGAGUGAGUGCAAUUAUGUUUCAUUGCUGGAGAUGUUUGGUUGGUGCAAAUCAAAUGUAACAUGUCACAGAUCAGAGAGCUCUUGAAGAAGAAAGCAUCCGGGUUCUGGACAUGUGACCACAGCUGAGCCUCACAUGACAUUUGAGCUCAAGGAGCAUUUUAUACGCUUAAAAACUACGCAAAAACGACAGAUUUCACAAUCGUGGAAUUCCAAAUACAGAGAGAAAACCGUGCAACGUUACAGUAGCCUACUGGAUUGAAUGUGCAAGGAUAGUUUAACCAAUUGAUUGUCUGAUCGUGUACUUUGAUGAGCUGAAGAUAAAUAAAUCUGCCGUUCAAUGAUAACGUCACAGAUUCCCUGAAGACAACAUCAAUCCCAUUAAUUCAAAAUUUAAAUAAAAAUGACACCAGCCUACCGUGAUGAAUGUUAGCAACAAAUCACAGCGAAAAACGGUCUUAUUUCACAACAGUCGCUUGCCAACUAUAACCAAAAAGUUUACUAUAAAACAGACCAUACAGACACAACGAGUUUUUAAAAAGGAAAAGCAAUCCAAAAAAAAUGCAGUUCUGUAUCGGUGCAAACGUUAAGCGUCCUUGUAAAUCCUGCACAAACCAAACUCGUUCAGGGGUUAUCGGUGAACCGUCCGCUACAGUCAGCACGUCCGUGUGACCGCUUGAAAUAACAACAUUAACUCUCAAUCUCCUGAGGCGACCCACAUACUGCACUGUCAGCCCCUUUCAAACCCUCAACUUUACGGGCAAGUCUCUGGUUAGCAGCGUUAGCUUAGCCUGUCAAACGUUAGCAAACAAGUAGGCGAGGCGCGUCGCCUCUACCAUCGCGCUACGAGACAUACCGCCGAUAGGAAAAGGUCGUCUCCGUCUCCGUCCUCGUCGCUCACACGGUCUCCCACACCCUCACAUUCCGCCAGGUCUUGGUCCUCCGAGUCGGGGAAAGGAGGAGGACUGGUGCGCUCUGAACUGGUCGCCAUCUUCACUGUUAUCUGACGGACUUCUGGGGAGGUGCCGUCACACUGAUCCCGCUCCCUUUUCUUUUUUUUUUCUGUGUGUGCUGACUGUGGAGAUCAAGAUAAUGCUGUGUCUGCUACCUCAUGGGUUUACCAGCUAACUUAACUCCACGCCUAGGGCAGAAGUCAUGCGGUACUCGGGGGAGGACAGCAGGCAGGUAGUAGUAGAGAGGAAGACGGCAGCCGCGGGGUUCACGAGUUUCCGCUACUUCCUGGUAUCCCAGUGGCUUCACUUCACCUAGCUGCGGUUGUUGACGUUCUGGAUCUGGAGGCUAGACACACGCACACACACACUCGUAGCGCACACGUAGAUGUCAGGGACACGCUACUCGGCCCGGCUGUGAAGUUAAACAAAAACCACAGACUCUAUGAAGACCGCCCGAUGUCUCGCCGCGGAUGUUCAGAGGACUCGGAAGCCAGGCAAACUCUUCUCAGCAGCAGUGAGUCGGAGGAGCCAGAAGAAGUGGAUUCAGAUGGAGGUGAAGACAUAUUGUAUAGUAGCCAACGCAUCCCCUCUCAAGAUGACCAGGGAAGUGCACCAAGAAGGUUAACCUAUGAGGAAGCAGUUGAAGAAGCAGGUUUCGGGGUGUUCCACGGGCUGCUGCUGCUGGUGUGUGGCUGGGCCAACGCCAGCGAUGCGGUGGAGAUCCUGUGUGUGUCCUUCCUGUUGCCCACGGCACGCUGCGACCUGCAGCUCAGCUCCUCCGACAUGGGGCUGUUGACUGCCAGCAUCUUCCUGGGGAUGAUGGUGGGAGGCUACCUGUGGGGGUACCUGGCUGACCUGAGGGGGCGCAAGAGAGUCUUAAUCGUGUCUCUGAGCGUUAACGGUGUGUUUGGUGCCCUGGCGAGCUUGGCCCCGUGGUUCUGGCUUUUCCUGCUAAUGCGGUUCAUCAGUGGUGUGGGGGUGGGAGGCUCCAUCCCGGUCAUCUUCUCCUACUUCUCGGAGUUCCUGCCCCGUCUCAGACGAGGAGCCAUGAUCAGCUCGCUGGCCACCUUCUGGAUGGCCGGAAACAUCCUGGCUGCAGGCCUGGCGUGGUGGGUGAUCCCUGCAUCCUGGGCUCAUGUCCAACUGGGGCCGCUGACCAUGCAGAGCUGGAGGGUCUUCGUGGUGCUAUGCUCGGCCCCUAGCCUCAGUUCAGCGCUGCUCUUCAGCCUCAUGAUGCCCGAGAGCCCCAAGUUCCUCAUGGAGGCUGGACGGAAGAAGGAGGCGCUCCAUGUGUUCCGCGUGAUGUUUUCCGUGAACCACUGGAGAUCCAGCAAGACCUUUCCGAUGUUUGGCCUGGUCACGAGUUCCCCGCGCUCGCAGACGCGCGUGAGCAGCCAGGCGUCCUGGUGUGGCCGCCUGCUGGAAAUGGGCCUGGCUCCCAUCAGACAGAUUUUCUCUGGCCCCCUGAGAUCCAGGAGUUUUGUCCUCCUGGUGGUCUUCUACACCAUCUCCUUCGGGUACUACGGGCUGUGGAUGUGGUUCCCGGAGCUGUUUAAGAGGACUGAAGAUGGAGGCUCCCCGUGUGCCAACGUGUCCCGCGCGCCCCAGCUCCUGAACCAAUCCUCCUGCUACCCGCCCAACACAGCAGUUUAUAUGGAGGGCUUCAUCGUUGCCGCCUCAAACCUACCCGGCAACAUCUUCACCAUCUUCGUGAUGGACCGUGUCGGAGGAAAGACGCUGCUCUCCUGCAGUCUGAUGGUGUCCAGUGUGAGCGUGUUCUUCAUCUACAUGGUCCAGACCAAGGCCGGCAGCCUGGUUCUGUCCUGCAUCUUCAGCGGGGUGUCUGUGAUCGGCUGGAACGCCCUGGACGUGGUGGGCACGGAGCUCUACCCCACCCAGCUACGGUCCUCUGCGCUGGGCUUCUUCACGGGGGUGGGGCGCGUGGCGGCCAUCACGGGGAACGUGGUGUUCGGCAGCCUGGUGGACAGUAACUGUGCCGUGCCCAUCCUCCUGGUGUCGGCCCUGCUGUUGGCCGGGGGCCUGGUGGCCCUUCUGCUCCCCCAGACCAAGCAGACGGACCUCAGCUGAGACCCCCAGCUGAAUCCCCCCGCUGAGCUGAGCCCCGGCUUCUCAUCUGCCGGUCAACAGAGGAUAUUUAUAGAUUUUUGUGGAUCAAAAUGAUCCCAGUCCCAUGUCGUACAUUGACGAAAUAUGCAUUCCGGAUUAUAGGACUGAUUCGAUCAUCCGGUCCGAUCUGAUUUCGAACAUUUCGGUGUGGAGAUCUAUUUUUUGGAGGAUUAAGACACAUAUCCUGAUGGGAACAUGUUUGAACUCUGCGGCCCUGAUGUACGAGGUUGUGAUGCAAUCAUUCUAGAUGUCCACCGGAGACAUCCACCAGUUGUUUCUGUAAACGAGACUCUGUUUCUCGGCACUGCCUCUGAAGCUUGCUAGCUCACUGUGAUGUACUCCACACUCCUCAAGCCUUUGUUUGAUGGGAAAGCAAUGUGAAAAAAACGAAUUGAUAUUACAUGUUAUAAGGGGUGUAUUGUUGACCAGUGUUUGACUUUUGAGAAGUCAAAGAAAAGAGGGUAUUAAGCUCUGCCUCGUUGUAAAAAUGUGACUAAAGGCUCAUUUUAGUAGCACAUUGUACUAAGUGCUGUCCGAUAAUCAUAUAUUCAAUAUAUUAAUUCAUGUUAGGAUGUUAUUUUCCUCCUCAUUCAUUUUUAGACACUAAUAAAUAUGUUCUUAAUACAUCGUGGUACGCAGCUUCUUCAUAUAUUGAUCUCUUAUGAAAGAUAAAUUAGAAAUCCGUUUUUUACAAAUCUUAUUGAAUGUUAACAUAUAGCUUGGCACAUACUAUAGAGACCAUUAAUAACUACAAGAACUUUAAAAAUAAGCUUAUAAUAAUAUGUGGAAUAAUUAUUAAGUUUUGUCUCAUGAUCUGAUCACGUGAUGCCCUAACCACGUGAGGCGGGUCGGACAGGUGUUUUAUGAUUGGAGGGCGUGAACGACAAUAAAAUUAUAGAGGACCCCAACUCGCUCCGUCUUAAAUCGUGCUGACCCUGGUCCUCUGCGUUCUCCUCGGGCUAGACCGCGGCGGAGCUCUGGGAAUCUGCAGUGUAUCACACUGCAAGGACCCCGCACGG